Misgurnus anguillicaudatus (oriental weatherfish) is the source of this 993-nucleotide non-coding RNA. Lineage: Eukaryota; Metazoa; Chordata; Actinopteri; Cypriniformes; Cobitidae. The record is from RefSeq and is a predicted model, not a curated record.
GCGACCUCAGGAGGCUUCAGUCUUCGGAUUGAGAAACGGCCCUUCUGUGCCUCAAAGUAUCAUUCUAGUGCGCCAUCGGACAUGCGCGGUAAAACAACGGCUAGAAAUGUACACAAUGUAGGCAAACUGUCAAAGAAAACCAAAUCCAAAGGAAACUAAAACGAGUGGAUGAUUUAACUUGUUAUAAUUUAGAACUGAAAGGAUCCUGUAAACACAGUGUUCUGCAACUGUGGAAGUGGCUGGUAGGAGGGAAGAGUGGAGUGUAUAUCAGAAGAGGGUGACAUCACUGACAAAUGCCCCGCGUCCUCUAAAUCCGAGCAACGAAAAGCCCUUCUCAAUUCCUCCUUGUUCUGCAAGCUGUGGAAGUGGCUGGCAGGAGAGAAGAGUAGAGGAGAGGGUGACGUCACUGACAAAUUCCCCGCCUCCUCUAAACCCCGAGCAACAAAAAACCCUCCUCAAUCCCUCCUGAACUGAGGCAGAUGAGAUCCUUUGAGGGUUGAACCCGGUUGCUCUUAUAAGCAGGAGGAAUCCUAAGGCUCCUGUUUCAAAAACGCACUGUUUAGCACAUUCUUUCAUUCACUGAAUAAUAAGAGACAAACCCUUGAAUCGAAACAGUGCCAAGUUGGAGGACACAAACAUGUUGUGGUGUGCCUAACCACUGAGCCAAGAAUAAAAAGUGUUGUUUUUGUGGAAUGCCAUUUAAAAGAUCCAGCAGAACACUACAAUGUUCAGACAAGACCAGAGAUCACAGGAUUUGGCUAAACUGAUUGUCUUGGCGUUUUUAUCAAAUAGUAAUAUUCUCACUUACAGUGCCUAGAGGUACAAAAUGUUCAGAGUAUAGAGUUGUGGCAGCAAAUAAAGAAGAUUUAGUGCUUUUGUGGUUUUCUAUUCUUGUCAACCAUUCAGAAGAAUCUUGUCAUUUUUGUGUGAAGCAUAUAUGAGUCAAAUUGUUAAACAUCUUACCGUAGGUUUAUGUGCGUGUUAUUUACAUAG